This 422-nucleotide ribosomal RNA is filed under the name uncultured bacterium. Its description in RNAcentral is "bacterial SSU rRNA". It matches the Rfam family "Bacterial small subunit ribosomal RNA", at positions 28 to 492 of the family's 1533-position model. The record is from RNAcentral.
GAUGAACGCUAGCGGCAGGCCUAACACAUGCAAGUCGAACGCUCCGCAAGGGGAGUGGCGCACGGGUGAGUAACACGUGGGAACCUACCUUCUGGUACGGAACAACCAAGGGAAACUUUGGCUAAGACCGUAUACGACCUCCGGGUGAAAGAUUGAUCGCCGGAAGAGGGGCCCGCGUCCGAUUAGGUAGUUGGUGAGGUAACGGCUCACCAAGCCUUCGAUCGGUAGCUGGUCUGAGAGGAUGACCAGCCACACUGGGACUGAGACACGGCCCAGACUCCUACGGGAGGCAGCAGUGGGGAAUAUUGGACAAUGGGCGCAAGCCUGAUCCAGCCAUGCCGCGUGAGGGAUGACGGCCUUCGGUUGUUAACGUACUUCUAGCUCCGACGAACGACGAGAGUGACGGUAGGAGACGAGAAGAA